RNAcentral lists this ribosomal RNA (627 nucleotides) under Triticum aestivum (bread wheat). RNAcentral describes it as "partial small subunit ribosomal RNA". The record is from RNAcentral. Lineage: Eukaryota; Viridiplantae; Streptophyta; Magnoliopsida; Poales; Poaceae.
CCCCCACUUCCCCCCCAGGAUCUGGAUCAGGAAUCCCCCUAGCGCUCGCCCCACAUGACCCCCGGCGCACCCCGACCCCGUCGCCCGCUUCUGACCACGUCGGACCUCCUCCCCGCCGCUGCUGCGGCUCACGGCCUUGACGCACCGGUCCUCGUCGCGUUCGCCUCCCCGCCUCGACCCCAACACCCUCGGCGCCCCGAGGCCAACGUCGCCACCUAUCGUCGCUCGUCGUAGCCCCGCCUCCUCAUCUCUCCCUCAUCGGCUCCGUCAAGCCUCGCCGGCCCCCUGUUCAUCUACAACGGGGACCCUGAGACCGCUGCUGAUGCCACUGUGAUCGACUACGUCGACGACGACCCUGCUUCUUGUCUGAGCAACCAGAUGGUGGAUCCUUGGAGCCAGAUGCCACCCCUGUCGACUACUACUACAUGGAGGUCGCCGAUGACUAGGAGUAGUUAGGAGGUCCCAGGCAGGAGGCCUUGCCUAUUCGAUCAUGUUGCUUUUGUGCUAGCCUUCUUAAGGCAUCCUUGUUUAAUUUAUGUCAGUACUCAGAUAUUGUUGCUUCCGCUGACUCUUGUGUAUCGAGCUAUGUAUUCGAGCCCUCGAGGCCCCUGGCUUGUAAUAUGAAGC